UGACCGAUAGCGUACGAGUACCGUGAGGGAAAGGUGAAAAGCACCCCGGGAGGGGAGUGAAAGAGUUCCUGAAACCGUGCGCCCGCGAACCGUCGGAGCCCCCUGGUGGGGUGACGGCGUGCCUAUCGAAAAAUGAGUCUGCGAGUCAGUGGCAUGUGGCGAGCAUAAGCCGUGUGGUGUAUGCGUAGCGAAAGCGAGUCUUAAAAGGCGUUUUGAGUCGCGUGUCCUGGACCCGAAGCGGGAUGAUCUAGCCCUGGUCAGGUUGAAGCGUGGGUAAGACCGCGUGGAGGACCGCACCCACUUAGGUUGAAAACUGAGGGGAUGAACUGGGGUUAGGGGUGAAAGGCCAAUCAAAUUCCGUGAUAGCUGGUUCUCUUCGAAAUGCAUUUAGGUGCAGCGUCGGUUGAUUGCGUGUGGGGGGUAGAGCUACUGGAUGCUUGCGGGCCCGUACCGGGUACCAACAGCAACCAAACUCCGAAUACCCAUCGCGUCUAUUCCGGCAGUGAGUCGGCGGGGGAUAAGCUCCGUCGUCGAGGGGGAGACAGCCCUGACCGUCGUCUAAGGUCCCCAAGCGCGUGCUAAGUGGGAAAGGAUGUGGAGUCGCAUAGACAGCCAGGAGGUUGGCUCAGAAGCAGCCAUCCUUGAAAGAGUGCGUAACAGCUCACUGGUCUAGUGGUUCCGCGCCGACAAUGUAGCGGGGCUCAAGCACGCCACCGAAGACGCGGAUGCAACGUUGUGUUGCGUGGUAGGAGAGCGUCCCACACCGGGGCGAAGCGGCGGGGGAACCCGGCCGUGGACUGUGUGGGAGUGAGAAUGCAGACAUGAGUAGCGAGAGCAGGGUGAGGAUCCCUGCCGCUGGAAGACCAAGGGUUCCAGGGCCACGUUCGUCGUCCCUGGGUGAGUCGGGUCCUAAGGCGAGGCCGACAGGCGUAGUCGAAUGGAUGAACGGGUCGAUAUUCCCGUACCGGCUUUCGGACCGACCAGCAGCCCGUGUGAACAAGGGCCAUCCGAUACGGUUGAUGGGGGCUUCGGCCUUCUGAUUCCGUUGCUGUUUGGCCUGGACGCGCAUGGGUUGAGCGUUUCAGGAGUGACGCGGACGGGUAGCCGGCCGGGGAGGUGGUUUUCCCUGGUCAAGCGUGUGGCCCCGCCCCCAGGCAAAUCCGGGGGCAUGAUGGGGUGAGGCGUGAUGAUGGGCGCUGUUCAGGCGUGAUAUCCGGUGAUCCCGUCGGCCGAGAAAAGCUUCGGCGCGAGGUCCGUUGCCGCCCGUACCCCAAACCGACACAGGUGGUCUGGUAGAGUAUACCGAAGCGAUCGAGCGAAUCCUGGUCAAGGAACUCGGCAAAUUGCUCCCGUGCCUUCGGCAUAAGGGAGACCCCCGGCGGUUCCGGCCCCGUUCGCGGGCCGCGGGCGGCUGGGGGUGGCACAGGCCAGGGGGUAGCGACUGUUUACCAAAAACACAGGUGCAUGCCAAGACGCAAGUCGCCGUAUAUGCACUGACGCCUGCCCGGUGCCGGAAGGUUAAGAGGAUCCAUCAGCGUCCCCUCGCGGGAUGCGAAGUGGUGAAUUCAAGCCCCGGUAAAACGGCGGUGGUAACUAUAACCAUCCUAAGGUAGCGAAAUUCCUUGUCGGGUAAGUUCCGACCUGCACGAAUGGCGUAACGACUUCCCCGCUGUCUCGACCAGGAGCUCGGCGAAAUUGCAGUACGAGUAAAGAUGCUCGUUAAGCGCAGAAGGACGAAAAGACCCCGGGACCUUUACUAUACCUUGGUAUUGGCAUCAGGUGCGGAUUGUGUAGCAUAGGCGGGAGGCUUCGAAGCCACGGCGCCAGCCGUGGUGGAGCCGGCCAGUGAAAUACCGCUCUGUCCCCAUCUGAUGCCUAACCCGGACAAGUGAGCCUUGUCGGGGAGAGUGCCUGGCGGGUAGUUUAACUGGGGCGGUUGCCUCCCAAAGAGUAACGGAGGCGCUCAAAGGUCCGCUCGGCCCGGUUGGCAAUCGGGUGUCGAGUGUAAUCGCACAAGCGGGCUUGACUGCGAGAUCGACGGAUCGAGCAGGGACGAAAGUCGGAGAUAGUGAUCCGGUGCCGGCGUACGGACGCGGCAUCGCUCAACGGAUAAAAGGUACCCCGGGGAUAACAGGCUGAUCAUUCCCAAGAGUCCAUAUCGACGGGAUGGUUUGGCACCUCGAUGUCGGCUCGUCGCAUCCUGGGGCUGGAGCAGGUCCCAAGGGUUCGGCUGUUCGCCGAUUAAAGCGGCACGCGAGCUGGGUUCAGAACGUCGUGAGACAGUUUGGUCUCUAUCCUCUGCGCUCGUUGGAAUCCUGAGGAGGCCUGCCCAUAGUACGAGAGGACCUGGGUGGACGAACCUCUGGUAUGCCAGUUGUCCCGCCAGGGGCACGGCUGGUUGGCCACGUUCGGGAGGGAUAACCGCUGAAAGCAUCUAAGCGGGAAGCCCGCUCCAAGA
This 2458-nucleotide ribosomal RNA is filed under the name Bifidobacterium animalis subsp. animalis. RNAcentral describes it as "bacterial LSU rRNA". It matches the Rfam family "Bacterial large subunit ribosomal RNA", at positions 481 to 2804 of the family's 2925-position model. The record is from RNAcentral. Lineage: Bacteria; Bacillati; Actinomycetota; Actinomycetes; Bifidobacteriales; Bifidobacteriaceae.